Molecule: long non-coding RNA, 451 nt
Filed under: Pelobates cultripes (western spadefoot toad)
Lineage: Eukaryota; Metazoa; Chordata; Amphibia; Anura; Pelobatidae
Source: RNAcentral
GCUGCAUUAAUUAUGGACUGUAACGGCGCAAGUUGGGAGCACGUAAGACCACUGAGAAGCAGAUUACAGUAGUCAAGGCGAGAAAGGACAGUGGAAUGGAUCAACAACUUAGUCGCAUCUGGCAUUAAGUAGGGGUGGAUGCGCGCAAUGUUUUUGAGAUGGAAAUGACAGGAUUUGGCGAUAGAUUGAACAUGAGGUUUGAAGGAGAGGUCAGAGUCAAAGAGAACACCUAGGCAGCGAGCCUGCAUAGUGGAGCUGAUGGUAGCACCAUAGACUUGGAGGGAGACAGACACAGGAGUAACAACACUUGAGGGAGGAAAGACCAGAAUUUCAGUUUUGGUCAAGUUUAGUUUAAGGAAGUGGGCAGCCAUUCAAUUAGAGACAGCAGAGAGGCAGGGAGAGAUCAGGAGAGGACAGGUAGAUUUGCGUGUCAUCUGCAUAGAAAUUAUAU